This 400-nucleotide ribosomal RNA is filed under the name uncultured bacterium. RNAcentral's name for it is "bacterial SSU rRNA". It matches the Rfam family "Bacterial small subunit ribosomal RNA", at positions 355 to 748 of the family's 1533-position model. The record is from RNAcentral.
UAGGGAAUUUUCGUCAAUGGGCGCAAGCCUGAACGAGCAAUGCCGCGUGAGUGAUGACGGCCUUCGGGUUGUAAAGCUCUGUUAUAAGGGAAGAAUAUGCACUAUAGGAAAUGAUAGUGUAGUGACGGUACCUUAUCAGAAAGCCACGGCUAACUACGUGCCAGCAGCCGCGGUAAUACGUAGGUGGCAAGCGUUAUCCGGAAUUAUUGGGCGUAAAGGGUGCGUAGGCGGCGAAAUAAGUCUGAGGUAAAAGCCCGUAGCUUAACUACGGUAAGCCUUGGAAACUGUUUUGCUAGAGUGCAGUAGAGGACAAUGGAAUUCCAUGUGUAGCGGUAAAAUGCGUAGAUAUAUGGAGGAACACCAGUGGCGAAAGCGGUUGUCUGGGCUGUAACUGACGCUA